GGAUGUGAGGGCAAUCUGGAUGUGACAUCUGUCACCACAUUGAUCACCAGUGUUGAUUUGGCUGAUGUAGCUGGCUAGGCUGGUGUCCCCUUCCUCCCUCAACAUUCCAUGUGUGUCCCUCCCAAAGCUGUGCAUGCUAUCACAGAGAACAACCUUCCCUGAAUGGAGACUGACCAGUCUCUGGUUGAGGGCAUAUGAGUAGCUGUGCUCCCUUGCUAAACCUCCAAACAAGCUCUCAUCUCACUCACUACUUGGCAUAGAAAACUCCAGAGCUUCACACCAAAGUCAGAUCAAAUCCAAGACGUUUGCAAAGCUGUUUUUUGACUUUUCUU
Unclassified non-coding RNA from Erinaceus europaeus (western European hedgehog), 332 nucleotides. Its record names the gene 7SK. It matches the Rfam family "7SK RNA". From Rfam's summary of the family: 7SK was discovered as an abundant small nuclear RNA in the mid-70s but a possible function has only recently been suggested. Lineage: Eukaryota; Metazoa; Chordata; Mammalia; Eulipotyphla; Erinaceidae. The record is from Ensembl.